Lentinula edodes (shiitake mushroom) is the source of this 98-nucleotide non-coding RNA. The record is from Rfam. NCBI's taxonomy places the organism in Eukaryota, Fungi, Basidiomycota, Agaricomycetes, Agaricales, Omphalotaceae.
GCAUUAAUGGGGUAGUGGUAACCUGGGUCGUUGCCAUUUUUCGAAUUGCGAAGUGCCGAUGUGUCGACCCGCCGGGGGUUCGAUUCCCUCUUAAUGCA